UUAUCGUUUAUUUGAUAUUGCCUAUCCUACAUGGAUAACAGUGGUAAUUCUAGAGCUAAUACAUGCUGAAAAUCCCGACUUCGGAAGGGACGUAUUUAUUAGAAUCAGAACCAAUGCCCUUCGGGGUUUUCUGGUGACUCAUGAUAACUCCACAGAUCGCAUGGCCUUGCGCCGGCGAUGGCUCAUUCAAAUUUCUUCCCUAUCAACUUUCGACGGUACGGUCUUGGCCUACCGUGGUUGUAACGGGUGACGGAGGGUUAGGGCUCGACCCCGGAGAAGGAGCCUGAGAAACGGCUACUACAUCCAAGGAAGGCAGCAGGCGCGCAAAUUAUCCAAUCCCGACUCGGGGAGAUAGUGACAAUAAAUACCGAUACAGGGCUCUUUUGGGCCCUGUAAUUGGAAUGAGUACAAUUUAAACCUCUUAACGAGGAACAAUUGGAGGGCAAGUCUGGUGCCAGCAGCCGCGGUAAUUCCAGCUCCAAUAGCGUAUAUUAAAGUUGUUGUGGUUAAAAAGCUCGUAGUCGAACCUCGAGCCUGGCCGGCCGGUCCGCCUCACCGCGUGCACUGGUCUGGCCGGGCUCUUCCCUCUGCGGAACCGCAUGUCCUUCACUGGGCGUGUCGGGGAGGCAGGACUUUUACUUUGAAAAAAUUAGAGUGCUCAAGGCAGGCCAAUGCUCGAAUACAUUAGCAUGGAAUAAUAGAAUAGGACGUUGGUUCUAUUUUGUUGGUUUCUAGGACCGCCGUAAUGAUCAAUAGGGACGGUCGGGGGCAUCAGUAUUCAGCCGUCAGAGGUGAAAUUCUUGGACCGGCUGAAGACUAACUACUGCGAAAGCAUUUGCCAAGGACGUUUUCGCUGAUCA
RNAcentral lists this ribosomal RNA (860 nucleotides) under Pleurotheciella lunata. RNAcentral describes it as "SSU rRNA". It matches the Rfam family "Eukaryotic small subunit ribosomal RNA", at positions 110 to 979 of the family's 1831-position model. The record is from RNAcentral. Lineage: Eukaryota; Fungi; Ascomycota; Sordariomycetes; Pleurotheciales; Pleurotheciaceae.